UACGAAGGGGGCUAGCGUUGCUCGGAAUCACUGGGCGUAAAGCGCACGUAGGCGGCUUUCUAAGUCGGGGGUGAAAUCCUGGAGCUCAACUCCAGAACUGCCUUCGAUACUGGAAAGCUCGAGUCCGGGAGAGGUGAGUGGAACUGCGAGUGUAGAGGUGAAAUUCGUAGAUAUUCGCAAGAACACCAGUGGCGAAGGCGGCUCACUGGCCCGGUACUGACGCUGAGGUGCGAAAGCGGUGGGGAGCAAACAGGG
This 255-nucleotide ribosomal RNA is filed under the name uncultured bacterium. RNAcentral's name for it is "partial 16S ribosomal RNA". It matches the Rfam family "Bacterial small subunit ribosomal RNA", at positions 524 to 777 of the family's 1533-position model. The record is from RNAcentral.